AUCAACCCUAGGAGCACGAGCUGCAAACAAGUGAAAGCACAUAAAAAUCAGCUGUGAUCUAACUGCAAGCAUUCAAAGAUCUUAUUUUUCUUUCUUGUUUUGCUCUCUAUAUAUUUGCAGGAAAUUACUGCCUUUGCUAAUUAUAAGCCAUUUAUACCAGCUGUUUAUUUCACUGUAAUCAUAACCCCUAUAAUAUCCCAACAGGCUGCUCCAAAAGCCACAGAAUCACUGGCAUUCACCGCAUCCAGAGCACCAAGAGUGCCAACAGGUGAACGGUUAUGAAGCAAGCCAGCUUCAGCAAUCUUCCUCAACUAAAGAAAGCCUGGCGGGAGGCGAAGACAUGGAAAUGAAGGUACAUGUUAGGGAUCCAGCAGGACUCCCAGCAAGGUGCUGAAACUGCAAGCGCAGCUGGCAGAGCUGGAGCCGGAGCUCCAAGAAGCAGAUGGUGCACCAAGACCUGAGCGUUCCAUGGCAACUGAGAGCAGCAGGUGGACCCUGAAGGAAGGUUAACAGAAAUCUGAUUCUUAACCUGUUACAGCUGUCUGGACUUCAAGUAAAAGCCACAGAUGAUCUGAGCUGAUAAUUGUUGGCAGCGUCCAGAAAAAGCCCGUUCGUCGCCGGGCGCUGUGUCCCGAUGCCUCCCGCUGCGACGAGCGCGGGCUGCGCGUCAUCCGCGGCAGCGAAUGUCCGGGCGGAGAGGAGGAGAAAGGAAAGCGGAGGCGAGGCUGCGCGAAGGGGUGCGGAGUGCCGCGGUCUGAGCAAGAGCUGCUCCGAGAAGGGAGCAAAGAGCGUUGAGGAGGUAUUUAUUUAUUUAGCUGUGAGAAACUGAGGAGGAGAGGACGGGCCCGGCGCUGAGGAGCUGUCAGCUGGAAGAGGCACCGAGGCGGCACCUCCGGGCUUUGUCCCUGCCGGGCACACGCUGCCGUGACAGCACUGCGGCUCUGCGUGCACCUGAAGGUGCGGGGAAUCCCAGCCCGAAUCCCAGUGCCCUCCCACUAGAGGCGAGCUAAGGGAGUGAAAGUAAUCAGUGGGGCUUAAUGCCGAAGGAGCCUUUCUUACAGAGACCAGGGAUGCUGUCUGAGGCCUGGGAAUACACAGGUCUCACGGCAGGUCCAGAUGUGCCAGCUGGGAAUUGCUCAGUGUAAAAGUAUGCUGUGCUGAGCCUUCGUGCUGCUUCCAGUAGCACAUCGGCUCGGUAAAGCUUGUAUCAACGUAGUGAUCCAGCAGCACUGCCAGAACUGCCACACACUUGGUGUACUGCAGUGGGAAACUUGUAGCUGUGGUGCUGGUGAAGCUCAUGUCCAAAAGCAGCAGUGCCUGUGGCCUAGGACAGGCUCUGUGAAGCUGUCCUAGCAACACUAGCUGUGUGUUUGCUGCCUGUGAACAUUUCCUUAGCUGAGAAGAUAAAGCAGCAUGGCUUGGCACAGCUUCAGCAUGUAAGCAAAAAUUUGGCAUCUCAAUAUAGUAUCAAAUGAGUGAGAGGUUAAUGGGACCCCAGAAGCGUAAAUGUAUCCUCCAGAUGCUGAUUAAAAGAAGGAUAAACUUCUGAAAUUUGGACACGCUUAGAGUAGUCAGCAUGUAAGUCUACAGUCAAAGGCAUUUCAGUAUAAGUGAAGUUGUUUGGGGUAUUAUAAUCAUGAGUGAGAGCAAUGCUCAGAAUAGUCUUUAUUGUUUGGGUAUUUUAUGAUAACAAAAGUAGCCUGGAAAGAAGCAAUGCUGUAUUCAACAUAGCCAGGGAAUACUUUCAAUCCCCAGUGUUCAUUUUAACUCUUUAUGUUUUAUAUCUCAGAAGAAUUAAAUAUAAUUAUGAAUUUCUAUAA
Centrocercus urophasianus (Greater sage-grouse) is the source of this 1820-nucleotide long non-coding RNA. RefSeq lists it as uncharacterized. Lineage: Eukaryota; Metazoa; Chordata; Aves; Galliformes; Phasianidae. The transcript is spliced from 3 exons. The record is from RefSeq and is a predicted model, not a curated record.